Molecule: RNase P RNA, 361 nt
Filed under: Pseudomonadota bacterium
Lineage: Bacteria; Pseudomonadati; Pseudomonadota
Description: Proteobacteria bacterium (bioreactor metagenome) RNase P RNA component class A
Rfam family: Bacterial RNase P class A
About the family: Ribonuclease P (RNase P) is a ubiquitous endoribonuclease, found in archaea, bacteria and eukarya as well as chloroplasts and mitochondria.
Source: RNAcentral
CCGGAUGGCCGGACGGUUGCGGCGCGUUUUGAACGUGCCGAGGAAAGUCCGGGCUCCACGGAAAUACGGCGCCGGUUAACGACCGGGGGCAGCGGAUUUAUCCGCUGUUACGGCUAGUGCAACAGAAAGAUACCGCCUGACUUCGGUCGGGUAAGGGUGAAAUGGUGCGGUAAGAGCGCACCGCGUCUCCGGUAACGGCAGACGGCAUGGUAAACCCCGCCGGGAGCAAGAUCAAAUAGGGGCGGCAUAUGGCGCAUUUCCGCGCCCGUCGCCCGGGUAGAUUGCUAGAGGCGCAUGGCAACAUGCGUCCCAGAUGAAUAACCGUCCUCGACAGAACCCGGCUUACAGGCCGUCCGGCUUU